This is a non-coding RNA of Podospora didyma, 107 nucleotides long. NCBI's taxonomy places the organism in Eukaryota, Fungi, Ascomycota, Sordariomycetes, Sordariales, Podosporaceae. The record is from the annotation of a GenBank genome assembly.
GCCAUGUUAGGAUAGUGGUGAGUAUCGUGCGCGUCGAAAUAGUCGGAAAUGACUACCAGACUCCUUCUGGAGUGCUCAUGACGUGGGUUCGAUUCCCAGACAUGGUC